This 225-nucleotide ribosomal RNA is filed under the name uncultured bacterium. RNAcentral's name for it is "partial 16S ribosomal RNA". It matches the Rfam family "Bacterial small subunit ribosomal RNA", at positions 118 to 343 of the family's 1533-position model. The record is from RNAcentral.
UGAGCAAUCUGCCCUUCUCAUCGGAAUAAGCGUUGGAAACGACGUCUAAUGCCGAAUACGACCUCCUUUCGCAUGAUCGGAGGUGGAAAGCUCCGGCGGAGAAGGAUGAGCUCGCGGCCUAUCAGCUAGUUGGUGAGGUAAUGGCUCACCAAGGCGACGACGGGUAGCCGGCCUGGAGAGGGUGACCGGCCACACUGGGACUGAGACACGGCCCAGCUCCGUAGG